Long non-coding RNA from Cavia porcellus (domestic guinea pig), 3400 nucleotides. RefSeq lists it as uncharacterized. NCBI's taxonomy places the organism in Eukaryota, Metazoa, Chordata, Mammalia, Rodentia, Caviidae. The transcript has 2 exons. The record is from RefSeq and is a predicted model, not a curated record.
CUCUGACGCGAAGCAGCUGCCCACAGAGAUGGUCUCCUCGGCCUCAGAGGUCACUGCCGGGCUGCUGUCCACACUGCUGUGGCUGCCAGGACUCAGGAGCAAACUCACUGCACAGGACACAGCAAGGACAGACAGCAGACAGACAGCAUGGCACGAACAAAACCAACAGAAGCCCUCACGCUCUGACUUGCGCGAGAACCUGACAGCAACACGAGGACAAGCACUUGAGGGAACGCAGGCUUCACGAGACACGCGGAGGAGGUGGGGACCAGUGGGGGCUGCGACAUGCUGGAUGCAGUGAGCGUCCCGGGGCGGGCCUGGCCCAGAGUCACUGCCCGAGCUGCACGCUUUCUGUCCACGCUUUCUGUCCAUGUUUUCUGCUGACUGCGUGAAAACGGUCACAAGGCUUCCAGGUCCCUGGGACUGGAGUUCAAAUCCCAGCAGAGCUGUUUCCUGCCUGAGCCUGGACAGUGCAGGGACUGUGCUCUGCCCCAGGGCCUUGUCCAGAGGCUUCAGGAGGGAUGGCCCUGAGCUCAGGCCUGAGAUGAGGAUUUCCAACUCAGGAACUUGGGCUGGCCAGUCCUGCACUCAUGGGAAGGGGGUGGACAUGUGUUCAGGGUUGGCCACGCCACUGAAUGGCUUGUCUGGCAGGCAGGCCAGCCUGGGAGGACAGGCAUGCAGGCAGUGACCCACAAAUGCCUGUCCAGUAUGCUCCUCAUCCUGCCUCCCCAGGGCUGUCCCUGAAAUGCACUGCCUUCCUGGAAGUUGGUACCCAGGGAGGUACGGGCUGCAGGCCCCAGGGAGCAGCCUCCCAGGUCCCUCCCCGGUCAAGGUUCCCUGAGGAAUGGAGUGCAGUGAGGUAGAGGCAGGGUGGGAGGACCGGGUAGCCAGUCUACUUUCCCCAUUCUCCCCCCCCCUCCCCCCGCUGUGCGGUCCUGGAGCUUGUUUGCGGGUUUGAGAUCCCUGCGAAGUUCUGAGGUCAAAAAUACCACAAAAAGACGGUGUAAAUCAGCCAAUUGUGAGCCCUUGAAUCCACACAACUUGAGAGGCUGAGCCACCAUGACCAAGAAACACAGCAAAUGCUUAAAAGUUUUAAAUACUACAGUAAAAGUCACAUAGCCACGGAGCUCCCACCACAGACACCCCUCAGUGCCGACACCCUCACCCCAUUGUUGCCUCUCCUGCACCAGCGCCGAUGCAGUCCUCCUUCCUGAGGGUCUUAGCUACGCUGACCGGGUCCUCCUGGUCCUGAAUGUCCCUGUCUCCCUCUCAUGGCUGUUUUGACCUCAUUGAGGAGCUGACAGGAGCUGCCUUGGGAGGUGGAGAGGAUAAUGGGGUGAGUUUGCCGGAAGGACAGGGAGGAUUUUGAGGGGGGGUUCAUGACAAGGUGGCUUUUACUGCAAUGCAUGUUUAGAUUGUUAUUUAAAACAUUAGUGUCUAUGUGCACUGUAUAACAGUUACGUUCCUCGGGAGCUGGUGCAUGUACACAUGGACAUUCUUUCUCCAUCCCCUCCUCUAAAUGUUCCUGUGCUGUUCAGUCACUCACACAUCCUCAGGGCACAAAUACAAGCACUUACAAAUGUGUAACAUGGGUGUAACAAGGUCGAGGCCCCCUCCUGCCUGCAGUUCCCAGCCCCCUGACAUUCUUCCCAUAGGCCCUCCUGGCUUGGUCUAGGGUCACCGGCCCACUAGAACCCUUGAGCCUACAAAUGCAGGAGAACGUGGAGCUAAUUCAGCCACCAGGUCGGGGGCUGUCUGGAAGGCCCAGUGCCCUGUGCCCGCAAGUACGUGCUACGCCGCUUCGCCAUAGACCUGGAGUUCUGGGACUCUGUGAUCCUGGGUCUUAGCCUGAAGUUGGGGCAGCAGCAGGGGGCACUGAGUUAGGAAUCUAAAUCCCACACUUCAGUCCCAGUUGUGCUCUCAACUUUGGGCAAGUGAAACAAGUACAUUGAUCCUGAUAAAUUUUAGAAUCCCUCAUAGAUCUAGAAUGUUCUUUGAAGUUUUGGGUCAAGAUACAGGAAGUAAACAUUGCUGUGCAGUUGACCAGUGACUAAUUAGGAAUUUCAGAAGGCACACAACAAGCUGGGUGUGGUGGCACACACCUGUAAUCCAGUAUUCUAAGAAGCCGAGGCAGGAGGAUUGCCAAGCUUCCACUCAGCCUGAGCCAUUUAGCAACUUGUUGAGACCUUAUCUCAGAAUUACAAGGAAAUCUGAAAAGGCUGGCAUGGUGUGUCAGUUCAACUAGUACUGCCAAGUAAGUAAACAAAUACAUGAAUAAUAAUAAACAGAACACAAUCCCUUCACCCUUCCUGACCCCUUCCAUUUGCUUAAAGGGAGUCUGUUGUUAUUUUUAGGUUAAUUAAUAUGCUGACAAGUUUGCUUUUCUCUUAAGGCGCGAAUGACCUUUUGUGAACUCAAAACUUAACACUGCAGGAUUUUCAAAAAUGUGAAAACAUGUAUUUAUUUUGCGUUUAGCAGAAGCCUAAUAUACAUUCAAGAUGAAAUUCUCUUCCAGAUGAGUUGCUCCAGAGCCUAUGAAAGGACUAUGGACCCUUCAUUUGUUCCCCCUUACAGAACCCCAAGUUCAAAAAGUGCCACUGUGUCUAAGUGGGGGCUCUGGAAAGUUCUCCAGAUCCAGUGUGAGCUUUUCUCUUACAUAGUCACCCAACAACAUUUCAAGCAUUGAAUACAAUGCCUGCUAGGGACACAUGAUCCCCAACUUAUAAGGGCUUGGCUUGCUGUCUUGGUCACUUUCCUGUCACUGGGAGACAGGACCUGACACCCACAGCCUAAAGGAGGGUGCUGGUUUCGGCUCACGGUUUCAGUCCAAGGCAGAGACGAGAUGGCCAAGGAACCUGGCUUUUAGCAGCCAGGAAUCAGAAGGAGAGGUGGGAGGGGAGACUCACCCUGGGGGUCACACCCCAGCGACCACCCUACCUCCCGAAAGCACCCCUUUAAUGGAUUCAUCACUGGUGAGCCCAGCGUGUGGCACUUCCAGAAAGUGCCAGCUCACAACACACGAGAGUUUAGAGCAGCGCUCCAGAUGUAGCUCACAACACUUACAGCCCUGCAGACCCAUCACAGUGCAGCGGUGGUAAACAUACAUCAGAAACCCCGUGUUUGGAAUUCUGAUCAUGGCCGGGGCUGACACCAAUUGCUGUCUGAUUUUCUCCCUUGACCGAACACCAGCGGUGACCCGUAGCACCCAGCAGGCCAUGAGGCCAGAGGGGCAGCUCUGUUCCCUGAGGAUACGGGCGGCAGGGUGUACCAGGUCCCUUGUGCCUGUGAUGUCCCCAGCUUAGCAUGUGUCUGUUGCGAGGUGAACCUUCCUGCACAGAGGGGCCUCUGUAUUCUCUCAAUGGAUUCGCUUUUAUUGCUGUGUUACUAAACACAAAUUGGA